RNAcentral lists this ribosomal RNA (409 nucleotides) under Fusobacteriota bacterium. RNAcentral describes it as "Fusobacteria bacterium partial 16S ribosomal RNA". It matches the Rfam family "Bacterial small subunit ribosomal RNA", at positions 355 to 776 of the family's 1533-position model. Lineage: Bacteria; Fusobacteriati; Fusobacteriota. The record is from RNAcentral.
UGGGGAAUAUUGCACAAUGGAGGGAACUCUGAUGCAGCAACGCCGCGUGCGGGAUGACGGCCUUCGGGUUGUAAACCGCUUUCAGCCAUGACGAAGCUUUUGUGACGGUAGUGGUAGAAGAAGCACCGGCUAACUACGUACCAGCAGCCGCGGUGAUACGUAGGGUGCGAGCGUUGUCCGGAAUUAUUGGGCGUAAAGAGCUUGUAGGCGGUUUGUCGCGUCGAUAGUGUAAACACGCAGCUUAACUGUGUGCCUGCUGUCGAUACGGGCUGACUAGAGGAGGGUAGGGGAGAAUGGAAUUCCCGGUGGAGCGGUGGAAUGCGCAGAUAUCGGGAGGAACACCAGUGGCGAAGGCGGUUCUCUGGACCUUUCCUGACGCUGAGAAGCGAAAGCGUGGGUAGCAAACAGG